CCUACGGGAGGCAGCAGUGGGGAAUAUUGGGCAAUGGGCGAAAGCCUGACCCAGCAACGCCGCGUGAAGGAAGAAGGCUUUCGGGUUGUAAACUUCUUUUGACAGGGAAGAGCAGAAGACGGUACCUGUCGAAUAAGCCACGGCUAACUACGUGCCAGCAGCCGCGGUAAUACGGAGGUGGCAAGCGUUGUCCGGAUUUACUGGGUGGAAAGGGCGGGUAGCCGGGCUGACAAGUCAGAUGUGAAAUCCGGGGGCUCAACCCCCGAACUGCAUUUGAAACUGUUGGUCUUGAGUAUCGGAGCGGCAGGCGGCAUUCCUCGUGUAGCGGUGAAAUGCGUAGAUAUUAGGAGGAACACCAGUGGCGCAGGCGGCCUGCUGGACGACAACUGACGGUGAGGCGCGAAAGCGUGGGGAGCAAACAGGAUUAGAUACCCGGGUAGUC
RNAcentral lists this ribosomal RNA (442 nucleotides) under uncultured bacterium. RNAcentral describes it as "partial 16S ribosomal RNA". It matches the Rfam family "Bacterial small subunit ribosomal RNA", at positions 338 to 795 of the family's 1533-position model. The record is from RNAcentral.